Molecule: ribosomal RNA, 465 nt
Filed under: uncultured bacterium
Lineage: Bacteria
Description: partial 16S ribosomal RNA
Rfam family: Bacterial small subunit ribosomal RNA
Source: RNAcentral
CCUACGGGAGGUAGCAGUGGGGAAUUUUGCGCAAUGCUCGUAAGAGUGACGCAGCGACGCCGCGUGAAUGACGAAGGCCUUCGGGUCGUAAAGUUCUUUCGACAGGGAAGAAAAUGCCUAUAAGUAACUGUGUAUGUAUUGACGGUACCUGUAUAAGCAGCCCCGGCUAACUCCGUGCCAGCAGCCGCGGUAAUACGGAGGGGGCGAGCGUUGUUCGAAGUGACUGGGCGUAAAGAGCACGUAGGCGGUGUUGUAAGUCAUUAGUCAAAGACUAGAGCUCAACUUUAGUAAGGCUAGUGAUACUAUAAUACGAGAGUAUCAGAGAGGAUUGCAGAAUUCCUGGUGUAGCGGUGAAAUGCGUAGAUAUCAGGAGGAAUACCGUUAGCGAAGGCGGCAAUCUGGCUGGAAACUGACGCUGAGGUGCGAAAGCGUGGGUAGCAAACAGGAUUAGAUACCCCUGUAGUC